Molecule: long non-coding RNA, 275 nt
Filed under: Musa acuminata (dwarf banana)
Lineage: Eukaryota; Viridiplantae; Streptophyta; Magnoliopsida; Zingiberales; Musaceae
Description: long non-coding RNA (MACU_LNC009977)
Source: RNAcentral
UUUUUUUUUUUCUAUUUUUGGAACAUUAAAGAACCUAUUUUCAAUUUUUGAACCUAAAGGACCUAUUUUUUAAAAAACUAAAUAUAGGUUCUUCAAUGGUCCAAAAUUUGAAAAAUUAGUUAUUUUGAGCUUCUCUAGUCAAUGACAAGGCUUCAUGAAAAUUUUAAAAUUUUUAGAAAGAAUAAUUUUAAUUACACUGAUUUUGAAUACGAUUAUGAUAUUGUUUUUUGAAUAUGAUCCAAAAACAGUAUAACUCCUAUUCAAAAUUAGUGUAA